CUGAACCUUGACUUGGAGCUGGCCAGGACAGAGCUGCAAAAGGUCAGAGACGGCGCCGCUGAAAAACUGAGAGAAGCUCUAGCGAAGAAGGAUCAGGAUUUGGCUGCUGCUCGUAAGGAGGCUGACGACAGGACCGCUCUGGCCGAACAGAAGCUGGCUUCGGUCGGCCAGUUGGAAGAAGAGAAUACCAGGCUGAAGACCGCUCUGAAUGACUCCAACAAGGAGUGCUCGCGCUGGAAGAAGGCGAAUCUCGUCCAGGGCGAGAAAUGGAAGGCGUUGCUCGCAGGAGGGAUGAUCUGGAGAGCUGUCUGAGAAGUCUUGCCAAGAAGUUGUUCAUCAAGCUUGAAGAGUUUUGCCAGAACUUUGAAGAGGAGACUGGGCGGAUCGAACCAGGUUUGGAUCCAAUCAACUCUCCCGUGAAAGAUGAAACUGCCAUGAAUCUGCUCCG
Long non-coding RNA from Triticum aestivum (bread wheat), 448 nucleotides. RefSeq lists it as uncharacterized. The transcript has 3 exons. The record is from RefSeq and is a predicted model, not a curated record. NCBI's taxonomy places the organism in Eukaryota, Viridiplantae, Streptophyta, Magnoliopsida, Poales, Poaceae.